GGGCGCGGGGGGGCUGGGCUCGGCUUUAACCCCUGCGCGCCCGCCCGGCCCCGCCCGCACCGCCCCG
Non-coding RNA from Gallus gallus (chicken), 67 nucleotides. Lineage: Eukaryota; Metazoa; Chordata; Aves; Galliformes; Phasianidae. The record is from RefSeq and is marked provisional.